AGUGAACGCUGGCGGUAGGCCUAACACAUGCAAGUCGAACGGCAGCACAGUAAGAGCUUGCUCUUACGGGUGGCGAGUGGCGGACGGGUGGGGAAUACAUCGGAAUCUACUUUUUCGUGGGGGAUAACGUAGGGAAACUUACGCUAAUACCGCAUACGACCUACGGGUGAAAGCAGGGGAUCUUCGGACCUUGCGCGAUUGAAUGAGCCGAUGUCGGAUUAGCUGGUUGGCGGGGUAAAGGCCCACCAAGGCGACGAUCCGUAGCUGGUCUGAGAGGAUGAUCAGCCACACUGGAACUGAGACACGGUCCAGACUCCUACGGGAGGCAGCAGUGGGGAAUAUUGGACAAUGGGCGCAAGCCUGAUCCAGCCAUACCGCGUGGGUGAAGAAGGCCUUCGGGUUGUAAAGCCCUUUUGUUGGGAAAGAAAAGCAGCAGGUUAAUACCCCGCUGUUCUGACGGUACCCAAAGAAUAAGCACCGGCCAACUUCGUG
This 492-nucleotide ribosomal RNA is filed under the name uncultured bacterium. Its description in RNAcentral is "partial 16S ribosomal RNA". It matches the Rfam family "Bacterial small subunit ribosomal RNA", at positions 29 to 507 of the family's 1533-position model. The record is from RNAcentral.